RNAcentral lists this long non-coding RNA (225 nucleotides) under Sorghum bicolor (sorghum). Its description in RNAcentral is "long non-coding RNA (SBIC_LNC011910)". The record is from RNAcentral. Lineage: Eukaryota; Viridiplantae; Streptophyta; Magnoliopsida; Poales; Poaceae.
GUGGCUUCUGGAGUCUUCUAGAUGGUAGAAAAUUGCGCGGUGCGUUGAUAUCUCUAUGUAAUCCUGACAUGUGGGCCUUUCUUCCUUAUUUCCUGAUAACCCCCUGCAGAAAUAGACAAACACCAAAACUCGUGGAAUUCUGUCAGAUAAAACCCUAAGUCUAGAUGUUGAUUUCAUUUAGAUCCGUUUCUUUGUUUAUUUGAUAAUUAAAUUUGAUACUUAAGG